Molecule: long non-coding RNA, 575 nt
Filed under: Mus spicilegus (steppe mouse)
Lineage: Eukaryota; Metazoa; Chordata; Mammalia; Rodentia; Muridae
Description: lncRNA (ENSMSIG00000027386.1)
Source: RNAcentral
CUUCAACAGUAACUUACUCCUUCAAUUCAUAGAUUAGCUUUUAAAAGAGCCUAAUACUUAAAGAAUAUGGUGUCACUGAGCAGCUAUGUUCAAGGUAUCUUUAAGAACUCCUUAAGUUUUUUUCUCUCUCUUUUUAAUUUCUUCUUUUUGAUCCCUAAGUUCUUAAAAGUGCAAAUAACGUGUUUCCUUCCCUUAGCGCUUGACAUGUUUUAUCUCGUGAUUUGAAUUUCCAGGAUCCUUGAGGAGGCAUUGUUUGCUCUUGCUUGCCUGCCAUUUUACCUCAUGCAUCUAAUCAAAAUUGGACAUCGGAAAAUGGAAGCUCAUCACAGUCCACAGGAGACAAAGCCCUUGAUUCAUGGUGUAGAAAUGUCAAGGUGUUAUUGGUUGCUAUCUAUAAUUUGCCUCUUUGAGCCUAUCAACAGGAAGACCUCUGGAACUCAUUGAGGUUGGCAUCUUGAAUAAUGGUUCUUUGUCAGUGUACCGGAGGACUUUGAAAACGUCACUGCCGAUCUGUUAGAAGUUGUCUAAUUCCUCUGAAAAUACCUGUGUCUACACAACAUCAUUUGGGUUUCUCC